GCACCUCUAGCUCAAUGGCAGAGCAAUUGACUCUUAAUCAAUGGGUUCCCGGUUCGAGCCCGGGGGGGGUGCA
Molecule: non-coding RNA, 73 nt
Organism: Microbacterium sp. CH12i
Lineage: Bacteria; Bacillati; Actinomycetota; Actinomycetes; Micrococcales; Microbacteriaceae
Source: Rfam